AGAGUUUGAUCAUGGCUCAGAACGAACGCUGGCGGCGUGGACUAGGCAUGCAAGUCGAACGAGAAUCCAUCGUUUCAAUCCUUCGGGAGAGAAAAGGUGGUGGAAAGUGGCGAAAGGGUGAGUAACGCGUGGGUAAUUUGCCUCUAAGUUGGGGAUAGCCUCUGGAAACGGGGGGUAAUACCGAAUGUGGUCUCUCCGCGCAUGCGGAGAUGUCUAAAGGUGGGGAUCUUCGGACCUGCCGCUUGGAGAUGAGCCCGCGUCCCAUCAGCUUGUUGGUAGGGUAACGGCCUACCAAGGCUUUGACGGGUAGCUGGUCUGAGAGGAUGGUCAGCCACACUGGGACUGAGACACUGCCCAGACUCCUACGGGAGGCUGCAGUCGAGAAUCAUUCGCAAUGCACGAAAGUGCGACGAUGCGACGCCGCGUGCAGGAUGACGGCCUUCGGGUUGUAAACUGCUGUCAUGAGGGAACAAUAACUUGGGUAUUAAUACCACUCGGGUGUGAUGGUACCUCAAGAGGAAGCCACGGCUAACUCUGUGCCAGCAGCCGCGGUAAUACAGAGGUGGCGAGCGUUGUUCGGAUUUACUGGGCGUAAAGGGUGCGUAGGCGGCUUUGUAUGUCGGAUGUG
Molecule: ribosomal RNA, 628 nt
Filed under: uncultured bacterium
Lineage: Bacteria
Description: bacterial SSU rRNA
Rfam family: Bacterial small subunit ribosomal RNA
Source: RNAcentral